AGUGGGUGGUAGCUCACUGUGUCCUUGAAGGAGAGGUUGUUGCCACAUCUUGAGAUAGACCAACUUCUCCAAAGGGAAAGAGCUUUCGCUUUUUCAAAAUACUUGAGUUGGGUCAGGGAGAUAGCUCAGUCGGUAAAAUGCUUGCCUCGCAACCACGAGGACCGGGGUUUGAUUCCCAGAAACAAUAUAAAGAAGGCCAGAUAUGUUGGCCUGCACUUGUAAUCCCAAUGCUAGACAAGGGCAUAUGCCUGGGGCUCAUGGUCAGCCAGCCCAAACUACUUGGUGGGCUUGUGGCCAAUAACAGACCCCACCUCAAAACAGUGUGGACAACUCCUGAGUUAAGGAAAUCUAUUAGGUUAGAGGAUGCUGACCAGCCCCAUGAGGGGACAGAACAGGAAGUUGAUGACAUUGCAGCAGGCAAGGCAUUCACAAGCCAGAUAAGACCAGAAUCUGUCAAGCUUCUGCUUGCCCCCUCCCUCCCGGCUCUUAACAGCCAGUGGAAAAGGCUCCUUCUGGCUGCUGAAUUGCAACUGAGCCUAUGUAACAAAGAGGUGCUUCCCAGGAUGCCAGGAAAUUGCAGGAAAAAUGGUCUCUCCACCUUUGGAAAGAGUUCAUCUGGCCCUGCUGCUGCCUUCCUUCUAGAGGCCAAGCUCUUGUUAGAGACACUGCAAUUUAUUCCCUUGCUGAGGACUAUGAUGCAGGAAAUGGAGAAGGAGAAGGACUCUGAGCAUUUGGUUGGCUGCUGGGACAGGUGAGCUUCUGAGAUGGUGAUCUCAUUUGUCUUGCAAAUACCACGCACACACUACCCAGAAGAGGGGCUGGGAGACAAGCCACCAAGCCUCGGUGACUGCAGAUGGAAUUGUUUCUAAACAGAAUGUUUUUCAAAGCUUCUCUUGAAGCAUUAGCUGUGCCUGCAAAAUGAAUGACACAAUGUAUUUCGUACAAGUAAUAAAAUAUGUGAUUUGAAUAACUAC
This 974-nucleotide long non-coding RNA is filed under the name Mus musculus (house mouse). RNAcentral's name for it is "RIKEN cDNA 9630041A04 gene". The record is from RNAcentral. Lineage: Eukaryota; Metazoa; Chordata; Mammalia; Rodentia; Muridae.